RNAcentral lists this unclassified non-coding RNA (400 nucleotides) under uncultured fungus. Its description in RNAcentral is "sequence contains ITS1". The stretch from base 1 to 106 matches the Rfam family "5.8S ribosomal RNA", at positions 50 to 154 of the family's 154-position model. Lineage: Eukaryota; Fungi. The record is from RNAcentral.
GAAAUGCGAUACGUAAUGCGAAUUGCAGAAUUCAGUGAAUCAUCAAAUCUUUGAACGCAACUUGCGCCCCUUGGUUAGCCCUUGGGGCAUACUUCUCUGAGUAUCGUUUCAAACCAAACUCGCCUGCGUGCUUGAAAGAGCAUAGUCAGUGCGGAUAAUGAGUGUCAUAGGCUUAAUCGACUACGUCACUUCAAAUAAAUGGCGCUUAAGGUCAACGCUGUUGAGGCUUCUUCACGGAGGCUUCACUUCGCUGAUGUUUGAUAAAAUUCACUUCGGUGGACUCUUCUUAUAUCGGUGAGGAUGCAUUGUACACUUUAGGCUAAACAAAGACAACAGAUGGGAAUGCAAAUUCUUAUCUUGACUCUGAUCUCAGAUGAAGUAAGAUUACCCGCCGAAUUUA